RNAcentral lists this ribosomal RNA (253 nucleotides) under uncultured Bacteroidales bacterium. RNAcentral describes it as "partial 16S ribosomal RNA". It matches the Rfam family "Bacterial small subunit ribosomal RNA", at positions 524 to 776 of the family's 1533-position model. Lineage: Bacteria; Pseudomonadati; Bacteroidota; Bacteroidia; Bacteroidales. The record is from RNAcentral.
UACGGAGGAUGCGAGCGUUAUCCGGAUUUAUUGGGUUUAAAGGGUGCGUAGGUUGUUUUUUAAGUCAGCGGUGAAAGUUUGUGGCUCAACCAUAAAAUUGCCGUUGAAACUGGCAGACUUGAGUUGGCGAGAAGUACGCGGAAUGCGCGGUGUAGCGGUGAAAUGCAUAGAUAUCGCGCAGAACUCCGAUUGCGAAGGCAGCGUACCGGCGCCAGACUGACGCUGAGGCACGAAAGCGUGGGGAUCGAACAGG